CAGUAGCCGCGGGAAUACCAGCAGCCCAAGUGGUGGUCGCGUUUAUUGGGCCUAAAGCGCUCGUAGCCUGGCCGGUAAGUUCCCCGUGAAAUCGGGUCGCCCAACGAUUCGGCUCGCGGGGAAUACUGUCGGUCUUGGGGCCGGGAGACGCCGAGGGUACUCCGGGGGUAGCGGUGAAAUGCUGUAAUCCUCGGGGGACUACCAGUGGCGAAGGCGCUCGGCGAUAACGGGCCUGACGGUGAGGGGCGAAAGCUGGGGGCGCGAACGGGAUUAGAUACCCCGGUAGUCCCUGUCUCUUAUU
Molecule: ribosomal RNA, 301 nt
Filed under: uncultured bacterium
Lineage: Bacteria
Description: partial 16S ribosomal RNA
Rfam family: Archaeal small subunit ribosomal RNA
Source: RNAcentral